GCAGUUCGAGCGGACAGAUGGGAGCUUGCUCCCUGAUGUUAGCGGCGGACGGGUGAGUAACACGUGGGUAACCUGCCUGUAAGACUGGGAUAACUCCGGGAAACCGGGGCUAAUACCGGAUGCUUGUUUGAACCGCAUGGUUCAAACAUAAAAGGUGGCUUCGGCUACCACUUACAGAUGGACCCGCGGCGCAUUAGCUAGUUGGUGAGGUAACGGCUCACCAAGGCAACGAUGCGUAGCCGACCUGAGAGGGUGAUCGGCCACACUGGGACUGAGACACGGCCCAGACUCCUACGGGAGGCAGCAGUAGGGAAUCUUCCGCAAUGGACGAAAGUCUGACGGAGCAACGCCGCGUGAGUGAUGAAGGUUUUCGGAUCGUAAAGCUCUGUUGUUAGGGAAGAACAAGUACCGUUCGAAUAGGGCGGUACCUUGACGGUACCUAACCAGAAAGCCACGGCUAACUACGUGCCAGCAGCCGCGGUAAUACGUAGGUGGCAAGCGUUGUCCGGAAUUAUUGGGCGUAAAGGGCUCGCAGGCCGUUCCUUAAGUCUGAUGUGAAAGCCCCCGGCUCAACCCGGGAAGGUCAUUGGAAACUGGGGAACUUGGAGUGCA
Molecule: ribosomal RNA, 612 nt
Filed under: Bacillus sp. (in: firmicutes)
Lineage: Bacteria; Bacillati; Bacillota; Bacilli; Caryophanales; Bacillaceae
Description: bacterial SSU rRNA
Rfam family: Bacterial small subunit ribosomal RNA
Source: RNAcentral